UGAGGAAUAUUGGUCAAUGGGCGAGAGCCUGAACCAGCCAAGUAGCGUGCAGGAUGACGGCCCUAUGGGUUGUAAACUGCUUUUAUAUGGGAAUAAAGUGAGGGACGUGUCCCUUAUUGCAUGUACCAUACGAAUAAGGACCGGCUAAUUCCGUGCCAGCAGCCGCGGUAAUACGGAAGGUCCAGGCGUUAUCCGGAUUUAUUGGGUUUAAAGGGAGCGUAGGCUGUUUGUUAAGCGUGUUGUGAAAUGUAAGAGCUCAACUUUUAGAUUGCAGCGCGAACUGUCAGACUUGAGUGCGCACAACGUAGGCGGAAUUCAUGGUGUAGCGAUGAAAUGCUUAGAUAUCAUGAAGAACUCCGAUUGCGAAGGCAGCUUACGGGAGCGCAACUGACGCUGAAGCUCGAAGGUGCGGGUAUCGAACAGG
RNAcentral lists this ribosomal RNA (424 nucleotides) under Verrucomicrobiota bacterium. RNAcentral describes it as "Verrucomicrobia bacterium partial 16S ribosomal RNA". It matches the Rfam family "Bacterial small subunit ribosomal RNA", at positions 355 to 776 of the family's 1533-position model. Lineage: Bacteria; Pseudomonadati; Verrucomicrobiota. The record is from RNAcentral.